CGACGGGGUUGCGAGCGUUGUCCGGAAUUACUAGGCGUAAAGGGCAGGCAGGCGGAUCCAUAAGUUUAUCGUUUAAGGCGUCGGCUUAACCGGCGUAGGGCGGUAGAUACUGUGGAUCUGGAAUGCGGUUGGGGAAGACAGAAUUCCUGGUGUAGCGGUGGAAUGCGCAGAGAUCAGGAGGAAUACCGAAGGCGAAGGCAGUCUUCCAAGCCGUUAUUGACGCUCAACUGCGAAGGUAUGGGGUAUCAAAACAGGAUUAGAUACCCUGGUAGUCCCUGA
This 279-nucleotide ribosomal RNA is filed under the name uncultured prokaryote. RNAcentral describes it as "partial 16S ribosomal RNA". It matches the Rfam family "Bacterial small subunit ribosomal RNA", at positions 523 to 799 of the family's 1533-position model. The record is from RNAcentral.